This 1965-nucleotide ribosomal RNA is filed under the name human gut metagenome. RNAcentral describes it as "bacterial LSU rRNA". It matches the Rfam family "Bacterial large subunit ribosomal RNA", at positions 1 to 1977 of the family's 2925-position model. The record is from RNAcentral.
UUAAGUGAACAAGGGCAUACGGCGGAUGCCUUGGCGCCAAGAGCCGAUGAAGGACGCGGUAAGCUGCGAAAAGGCAUGGGUAGGAGCAAGCAUCCUGUGAUCCAUGCAUAUCCGAAUGGGGCAACCCACCAUCAGUCAUGUGAUGGUACGAAAGAGGCAGACCUGGGGAACUGAAACAUCUAAGUACCCAGAGGAAAAGUAAUCAAUUGAGAUUCCCUAAGUAGCGGCGAGCGAAAGGGGAAGAGCCCAAACCAUGAAACUUCGGUUUUGUGGGGUUGAGGACCGGCAAAAAGAGGAAACUUCUUAGUCGAAUGGUUUGGAAAGGCCAUGCACAGAAGGUAAAACACCUGUAGGCGAAAAGAAGUCAAUCGGGCUGGUAUCCAGAGUACUGCGAGACACGUGAAACCUUGCAGGAAGCAGGGGGGACCACCCUCCAAGGCAAAAUACUACUUGGCGACCGAUAGCGCAUAGUACCGUGAGGGAAAGGUGAAAAGAACCCCGGGAGGGGAGUGAAAUAGAACCUGAAACCGUAUGUCUACAAGCAGUCGAAGCACCUUAAGAGUGCGACGGCGUGCCUAUUGAAGAAUGAACCGGCGAGUUACAUUAUGUUGCGAGGUUAAGUGGGAGACACGGAGCCGAAGCGAAAGCGAGUCUUAAUAGGGCGACUAGUAACAUGGUGUAGACCCGAAACCGCAGUGAUCUAUCCAUGGUCAGGUUGAAGCGCAGGUAAAAAUGCGUGGAGGACCGAACCCGUGAGUGUUGAAAAACUUUGGGAUGAACCGUGGAUAGGGGUGAAAUGCCAAUCGAACGCGGAGAUAGCUGGUACUCCCCGAAAUAGCUUUAGGGCUAGCCUCAGGGAAGAUUAUAGACGGUAGAGCACUGAUCUGGCAAGGGGGCGUAAAGCCUACCGACCCUAGUCAAACUUCGAAUGGCUAUAAUUAAGACCCUGGGAGUCAGACUGCGAGUGAUAAGACCCGUAGUCAAGAGGGAAACAGCCCAGACCGCCGACUAAGGUCCCCAAUGCUGUACUAAGUGGAAAAGGAUGUAAGACUUCAUAAACAACCAGGAUGUUGGCUUAGAAGCAGCCACCAUUAAAAGAGUGCGUAAUAGCUCACUGGUCGAGAGGCCUUGCGCCGAAGAUGUCCGGGGCUCAAGUACAGAACCGAAGUCGCGGCAGGAUUAUAUAAUUCUGGGUAGGGGAGCGUUGUAUAUCCGACUGAAGGUGUACCGGAAGGAGCGCUGGAGGAUAUACAAGAGAGAAUGCCGGUAUGAGUAGCGAAAAGAACAGUGAGAAUCUGUUCCACCGAAAGCCUAAGGUUUCCUGAGCAACGCUCGUCGACUCAGGGUAAGUCGGGACCUAAGCCGAGGCAAAAAGCAUAGGCGAUGGACAACAGGUUAAUAUUCCUGUACCGCUUCAAAUCGUUUGAGCAAUGGAGUGACACAGAAGGUAGCUUGAGCACGCGAAUGGAUGUGCGUGUCGAAGGUGGUAGAUUGCAGUAUAGGCAAAUCCGUACUGUAUAAGAUCGAGAACUGAUAGAUAGACGAUACUUCGGUAAAGUCAAAUUCAAGUGAGCCAUGCUGUCGAGAAAAGCUUCUAGUGAGAGAUGAGGCGCCCGUACCAAAACCGACACAGGUAGGCGGGGAGAGAAUCCUAAGGUGCGCGGGACAACCCUCGUUAAGGAACUCGGCAAAUUGUAUCCGUAACUUAGGGAUAAGGAUAGCCGGAGGAUGUGAAGGGAUUUACUUCUGGAGCGUCAGCCGGUGGCACAAGAGAGGCCCAAGCGACUGUUUAGCACAAACACAGGUGCCUGCAAAAGAGAAAUCUGACGUAUAGGUGCUGACACCUGCCCGGUGCUGGAAGGUUAAGAGGAGGGCUUAGAGGCAACUCGAAGGCUUGAAUUGAAGCCCCAGUAAACGGCGGCCGUAACUAUAACGGUCCUAAGGUAGCGAAAUUCCUUGUCGGGU